GCGGGAAUAGCUCAGUUGGUAGAGCACGACCUUGCCAAGGUCGGGGUCGCGAGUUUGAGUCUCGUUUCCCGCUCCA
Molecule: transfer RNA, 76 nt
Filed under: Pseudomonas aeruginosa
Lineage: Bacteria; Pseudomonadati; Pseudomonadota; Gammaproteobacteria; Pseudomonadales; Pseudomonadaceae
Also listed under: 16 other names
Description: tRNA-Gly
Rfam family: tRNA
About the family: Transfer RNA (tRNA) molecules are approximately 80 nucleotides in length. Their secondary structure includes four short double-helical elements and three loops (D, anti-codon, and T loops). Further hydrogen bonds mediate the characteristic L-shaped molecular structure. tRNAs have two regions of fundamental functional importance: the anti-codon, which is responsible for specific mRNA codon recognition, and the 3' end, to which the tRNAs corresponding amino acid is attached (by aminoacyl-tRNA synthetases). tRNAs cope with the degeneracy of the genetic code in two manners: having more than one tRNA (with a specific anti-codon) for a particular amino acid; and 'wobble' base-pairing, i.e. permitting non-standard base-pairing at the 3rd anti-codon position.
Source: RNAcentral